This 786-nucleotide ribosomal RNA is filed under the name Lacticaseibacillus paracasei. RNAcentral describes it as "bacterial SSU rRNA". It matches the Rfam family "Bacterial small subunit ribosomal RNA", at positions 708 to 1507 of the family's 1533-position model. Lineage: Bacteria; Bacillati; Bacillota; Bacilli; Lactobacillales; Lactobacillaceae. The record is from RNAcentral.
GCUGGCGUGCCUAAUACAUGCAAGAACGAUCGUUGAUGAUCGGUGCUUGCAGAACAGGAUUAGAUACCCUGGUAGUCCAUGCCGUAAACAUGAAUGCUAGGUGUUGGAGGGUUUCCGCCCUUCAGUGCCGCAGCUAACGCAUUAAGCAUUCCGCCUGGGGAGUACGACCGCAAGGUUGAAACUCAAAGGAAUUGACGGGGGCCCGCACAAGCGGUGGAGCAUGUGGUUUAAUUCGAAGCAACGCGAAGAACCUUACCAGGUCUUGACAUCUUUUGAUCACCUGAGAGAUCAGGUUUCCCCUUCGGGGGCAAAAUGACAGGUGGUGCAUGGUUGUCGUCAGCUCGUGUCGUGAGAUGUUGGGUUAAGUCCCGAACGAGCGCAACCCUUAUGACUAGUUGCCAGCAUUUAGUUGGGCACUCUAGUAAGACUGCCGGUGACAAACCGGAGGAAGGUGGUGACGUCAAAUCAUCAUGCCCCUUAUGACCUGGGCUACACACGUGCUACAAUGGAUGGUACAACGAGUUGCGAGACCGCGAGGUCAAGCUAAUCUCUUAAAGCCAUUCUCAGUUCGGACUGUAGGCUGCAACUCGCCUACACGAAGUCGGAAUCGCUAGUAAUCGCGGAUCAGCACGCCGCGGUGAAUACGUUCCCGGGCCUUGUACACACCGCCCGUCACACCAUGAGAGUUUGUAACACCCGAAGCCGGUGGCGUAACCCUUUUAGGGAGCGAGCCGUCUAAGGUGGGACAAAUGAUUAGGGUGAAGUCGUAACAAGGUAACCACUAGA